UACAUGGGGUGCAAACGUUGCUCGGAAUCAUUGGGCGUAAAGCGCGCGUAGGCGGUUACUUAAGUUGGAUGUGAAAGCCCUCGGCUUAACUGAGGAAGUGCAUCCAAAACUGAGUAGCUAGAGUACGAAAGAGGGUCGCGGAAUUCCCGGUGUAGAGGUGAAAUUCGUAGAUAUCGGGAGGAACACCGGUGGCGAAGGCGGCGACCUGGGUCGAGACUGACGCUGAGGCGCGAAAGCGUGGGGAGCAAACAGG
Molecule: ribosomal RNA, 253 nt
Filed under: uncultured bacterium
Lineage: Bacteria
Description: partial 16S ribosomal RNA
Rfam family: Bacterial small subunit ribosomal RNA
Source: RNAcentral